RNAcentral lists this ribosomal RNA (460 nucleotides) under uncultured bacterium. RNAcentral's name for it is "partial 16S ribosomal RNA". It matches the Rfam family "Bacterial small subunit ribosomal RNA", at positions 338 to 795 of the family's 1533-position model. The record is from RNAcentral.
CCUACGGGAGGCUGCAGUGAGGAAUAUUGGUCAAUGGGCGCAAGCCUGAACCAGCCACGUCGCGUGAGGGAUGACGGUCCUAUGGAUUGUAAACCUCUUUUGUCGGGGAGCAAGGCCCGCCACGUGUGGCGGGAAGGAGAGUACCCGACGAAAAAGCAUCGGCUAACUCCGUGCCAGCAGCCGCGGUAAUACGGAGGAUGCGAGCGUUAUCCGGAUUUAUGGGGUUUAAAGGGUGCGUAGGCGGAAGGUUAAGUCAGCGGUAAUAGGUCGGUGCGCAACACCGGACUGCCGUUGAAACUGGUCUUCUUGAGUGAGCGAGAGGUAUGCGGAAUGCGUGGUGUAGCGGUGAAAUGCAUAGAUAUCACGCAGAACUCCGAUUGCGAAGGCAGCAUACCGGCGCGCAACUGACGCUGAGGCACGAAAGCGUGGGGAUCGAACAGGAUUAGAUACCCCUGUAGUC